This 1236-nucleotide long non-coding RNA is filed under the name Homo sapiens (human). RNAcentral's name for it is "HSALNT0332020". Lineage: Eukaryota; Metazoa; Chordata; Mammalia; Primates; Hominidae. The record is from RNAcentral.
AGAUAUAGAGUGUGAGAGAGAAGAGUGGAGGCUGGUUCUCAGGCUCCAGAAGCAUAAGCCUGCAUGGAGCAUAGCGUCACUGAGCAAGACAGGUGUGGAGGAUGAGAAGCGGGCCACAGGAUGGGAAGGGAAUCUGUGUGGAGGCGGUGCCCUAAACAUGCUGCCUUGAGGAGGGACCUCUACAUGGGGUGGCCGGGCACAGCCAGGCUACCCAUGGGGACCUCAACAGCUUUGCCAUUGCACACUAUCUUUGCAGACAAGAUCUUAAUCACAUCCAACUUUCUGCAGUUGCACAGGGUACCUCAGACCCACAUCCCAGAUGACAUUCCUCAGAAGCUCGCAGCUGGAGAUGACAUCACCUUAGACAACAUCACCCUAGCCCAAGACAUCGCUAUUAGAGAUACAUCACCUGGACACUAAAGCCUCCAACCCAGUGACACUCUCAAGGUGCUGACAAAAUGGACAUGGACAUUUGUUGCUUUUCUUCUUUUGAAUUAGGAACUCUAUUGUGUUUCCUGAAUUUACUGUCUGCUUGGCCCAUGAUCCUGGUAUGUUCCUUGCUCUCUGCCAAAACAUGCACCGUCCCCUCCACACCUAAAGGAAAACCUGGUAGAAGCUACUACUCUCAAUGCCAUUCUAAAAUUGACGAAGAGUAUUAUUUUCCCCAAGAGGCAGCUGCUGCAGGCCAGUGAAUCCUCUGGACCCUGGGGAGAGGGUCAUACACUCCCUAGUGACUUCUACUGUAUGCUCCAGCUUUCCACCAGGACCUCCUGCCCUGUCCCCAACUGUAACGACCACAACCACCCCAUCCCCUUGGUUACACACAAAUAUCACCAGUCUUUACAUGUACUUUACUGACUUCUCAGAUAAUACCCUCCAACAAGAUAACUGCAGGACUUGCCACCAUGACCUGAGAAAUACACCAAGAUAUUAUUGUCCAAUUUUUUUGAGAUAUAUAUAUAUUUCUCAUACUUUUAACAUACUCUGCAAUCCACCAAGAUAUUGGUAGAGACCCUGGAAAUUUCAAAUCUAUUUCGUCUGCUAAUGCCAUGUGAAUGGGAAACUUAGAUACAGGCUGGCCUACAAGGACUCCUUAUACUUCAAUUUUUGUUCCUCCUUUCAACUCUCAUAAAAAAUAUUUUCUGUACUAUUUAGGGCAAAUGAUGGCCUUCUUUCUAAGUCUCAUCCAUCAUUGCUGCAAAGGUGCCUUAGUUUGAUGUUAAAGUGUCACAGGGC